UACGUAGGGUGCUAGCGUUGUUCGGAAUCAUUGGGCGUAAAGCGCGUGUAGGUGGUUAAUAAAGUUGAUUGUGAAAUCCCUCGGCUCAACCGAGGAAGUGCAGUCAAAACUAAUUAGCUUGAGAGUGGUAGAGGAAGGUGGAAUUCCUAGUGUAGAGGUGAAAUUCGUAGAUAUUAGGAGGAAUACCGGAGGCGAAGGCGGCCUUCUGGACCAUUUCUGACACUGAGACGCGAAAGCGUGGGUAGCAAACAGG
Molecule: ribosomal RNA, 253 nt
Filed under: uncultured bacterium
Lineage: Bacteria
Description: partial 16S ribosomal RNA
Rfam family: Bacterial small subunit ribosomal RNA
Source: RNAcentral